GGGGCGGUGGCUGGGAGGGAGCCUCCUGGCCGCCGGCCAAGGGUUUGUUCUGCUCUGGGUUGGCCGGGACUUGCGCUGUGCCGGGUCUAGACACAUCCCCAAGGUUCUGGCAGCAGAGGGCUGGCUGGGAGUGCCCGCAGGGAGCAAAGACAGUGAGAAAGCGCUUCACCCGCGCUGGGCAGAUAUUUUGAACCCUAGGCGACAUUUCCUCACCUACAAACCACUGAGAGGCGUCCUGAGGAGAGCGAAUGUUUUUGCAGUGCAUCAUCUCAAUAGGGGUGGGGAGUGGAGGAAGCUGAUUUGCUAGCAGAGAUGCCCAAUAUAGCGACCCGAGCUUCAGAAAGAAUUCUACUCUGUUCUAAGACGUUUCUUCCGUCGCCCACCUUCUAUCGCUGACUAAGACACAACUCUCUCUCAGUUUCACAGAGAAAGGGAUUAAAAAAAAAUGGCUCGGAGCCUUUAGGUGCAUUUCACAUCUAAACACAAGGAAGGAAUCUGUGAGGGUGCCUGUGUGAUGUGCUUUUGGUGACAUCGGUUUACAUUUAGGCGGUGUGGAUGGAAACUUGGAGAAAGCCGGCAUGCAGAAUUUAAUGUUUCCUGACUGCUUCUGAAAUGAUUUGAAAUAAAUGAAAAUAUGACAUUUUGCUAUAAUUUUAUCACUGAUCUUUUCUGAAACAAAAGAAAUUCAUGCCAACAGGUCAUGUCAUAGUUACAAAAUACACAAAAUAUAUACAAUUGUAGAAGUAUUUCAUUAAGCUGCAAGUUUACCAGAGAUAAUUUCUUUUAAUGUACUUGGCUGUGAGCUAGGGGAGACUUGACUUUUCUAAUUGAUUAGAAUUUUUAAAAAUUGUUAGAGUUUAAAAUGUUUUAUCUGUUCCUGAAUUUGGGGCUUCUCUCUUUAACUUACUGUAAAGUAGCAUGAGAUGAAUUAAACAAUAAUCGGUCAUUUUUACUUUGGGACUAUAUAAGUCAGGAAAUUCUUGACUUAUUAAUCCAAAAAUAAAAAGAAUUUUUUUAACCUAAGUUUCCAUAUUCAAUCAAAAGUCAAAUUAUGACACAAAAUAAAAAAGCUGGAAAUAUAUUUAAAGGAGCACGUGUUACAUUAAAAAUACUGGCAGUAUUUCCCAGAAAAGGGAAUCUGGGGAGGGCACAAAAAGAGGGAGUAAAGAGGAAAUAGAGGAUGGAAUCCUUAGAGCUUAUUACCUAAUUUUAGAGAAGACAUGGAAUUAUAAUGGAGAAAUGCAAAAGACCACCUUUUCUUUAUAGGAAAAAGGCAAUGUACUUUUUGAAAAAAAAGGUCAGUUUCAACUACAUGGCAGGGAAAAAUGUCACAUGUCGACGUGACUUUAAUUAUGCUGGUUAAUCAUCAUUAUAAUACUAAAGAUCUUCCAAAGUUUGGCUUUUCUUAAUUUACUUCUGCCAAACUUCGUUUCUAAAAUAUUUGAACAAAUUUUGUGUUAACAAACCUAAUAUUCUAGAAAAGGGUGGCGAACCUAAUAUUCUAGAAAAGGGUGGCGUCGGGUUCAGUGUGUUGUGUAGUGCUCGGUUUACCUCUAAUACUUACUAAAAGAUUGUUGUUCCUCUAACUCUUCCAAAAAGUUGGCUGCAAAGUGGUUGGGGCUGUGUUCUAUGGAAAAAUGUAGAAACCGUUUCCCAUCUAUUGUUUUUCAGUCUUCAGCUGUGAUGAAUAAUCUUGACGGUGAAAAAAGUCAACAGGAACAGUGAGAAAGCAUGUCCUGCAUUCCAGCAAGGAAAGGACUUUCUGAGGAGACCUCUACUUCAUCUUCAUCUCUCUCCACGUCUUUCUCAAGAUAAUUUCUAGAGCCUUGCUACUCGAAGUGUGGUGCAGGGACCCACAGCAUCAACAUCAACAUCAGCAUGACCUGGGAGCUCAUUAGAAACCAGGAUCUCAGGCCCAGUUUCAGAUUUACUGAAUCCAGAUCUGCAUUUUGACAAGAUCCCCAGGUUGUUCAUAUGUAUAUUAAACUCUGAGAAGUAGUGAUCUAGGGGAAACUUGAAAAUACACAUUUUCUGAAGGUAUUUUAAAAGACAGAAGCUAUGCCCACAAAUACCACUGCCCUAUAUAAGAACCAUGAAGGAAGAAAAACUCAGACAAAUUCAUGCAUAAAAGAGCCCUUUACAUCAUGGGAAGAGCAAUAAAACUGCAGCUUGGAUGACUUGCAGGGAAUCCCAAUUCCUCCACAAGAGGAAGUAACAUGCUAUUGAAGAAAUAUUUGUAAGCAAAUUGAAGGAAGCAUCGUUUAAGGGGGAACCCUUACAAGCUAAGUUAGCCAAGUUGCUAGCAGGGAACUGGCAGUUCUUUUCAUUUUUAUAAACCGAAGGCUUCUUGGAAUGUGAAAUCAAGAAUUACGAACUGGGGAGCAGCCAAGUAAUUUUUUUAUUUUUUUUGAUUACGGAAGAGCUUGAGCUAUAUUAAACUCUCAUAUUAGCCACACCCAAAAUGUAUUGGCCUGUGGCAAGAGUUGAGGCAGCACUGGAGUAUUACAUUUAUAAGACGACAGAGUAGUUCCUUAGGGACUGCUUUGAAGUGGCCGGAACCUAUCCUGUGCCAUGAAGCCCUUCAUGCUGAGAAAACUUCAUUGCACAUUUUAGAAAUGUGAGCGAUUUUCCUUUCCAGUUCUGAAUAUUGCCUCAACUCUAAGAAUCAUAAAAGUUUUAAAUGAAUCCCUAGUCUAUCAUGCAGGGUAGAACCUGCUUGCCUCUGAUCUGUCCCAAAUAGAUCAAUGCUCAUCAUUCUCAAAGUUCUUCCAGGAAAAAUAUUUUACAAAUAUUUUUUUUACCAUGUCCCUUGUUCAGAUAUAUUUAUGAUCACGAUUUUGUUGUGUGUGCUUACUCUAAUAAAAUUAUCACUUAAGACAACUCCACUUAGGUUUUCUCUCUCUCAGAAAAAAGUAGUUUUAAUAAAAUCGUCUUCGUACAAUA
Molecule: long non-coding RNA, 2943 nt
Organism: Pteropus alecto (black flying fox)
Lineage: Eukaryota; Metazoa; Chordata; Mammalia; Chiroptera; Pteropodidae
Exons: 2
Source: RefSeq, a predicted model, not a curated record